UCCCUCUGCAGCUGGAAUAUCUUGGUUCCUUCCUCGUAGCUGCUCCCGAACGCAGUUCUCGAGAUCACGUCGCUCGUCAUUGUCUGGAAGGCCUGGCCACACGUCCACUUCACACGAUCCGCCGUCCGGCACGAGCUCGUCCCAUUUCUUCAGCAUAUCGACUGUGCUAAUGUGGAACGCCGGAACCAUAUGCUGUUGCAGCAAAGGUAUAUAUAUAUGAGUUUAAAAAUGAAAAUAAGUGGAUGAACCUAUUUGCAAAUUUGAUGAUACCUUACCUUCAAUUUCUCGACAUGGAAGGCGGGGUUGAUGAGCUUUCUGUGCUUGAACCAUUUCUCCUUCUCGUAUGUCGCAAGCCCUUUGAACAUCUUAGCAAUUGGAUUACCAGAAGGCUUCAGGUAAACAUUGUUUUUGGAAAAAAUCUCUCUGAUAAUUUCUGGGUCGCUGAUGCUCACCGCAGGCCUUGGCCCGAACCAAACGAAGUUGUUCUCACCUGAAAAAUAUGUUUAAUUAGGAUGCGUUUACUUAAUUUAAUUUGAUUGUAAAUUUUCAUUGGAAAAUGAUUAGAUAAGAAAAGAUAGAAAAACAUAGAUUCUUAUUCUCCUUUCUAUCUCAUGAUUAUUAUAAGAGAUGAAAAGAUGAGAAAGAAGCUCCUGGUGAAAAUAUUCUCCUCUGCUAAGAGAAAAUUUUCUAUCAUAAUAAACAGUGAAAAAUAUAUAUUUUCUCCCCCUUUCUAUCAUAAUAAACAGUGAAAAAUAUAUAUAUGCAUGCAUGCAUGAGAAGUAAGUACGUGGUUGUUACCAUAUUUUUUGGUAGCUUGGUGGAAAAUGGCAGUAGCUCUCGGCGCUAUUUCAUUGGUAAAUUCGAUGGGUUUGGACAAGGCUUCUCCGGUGAGCCUUCCGAUUUCUUUGAAAUCACCAUAGUAAAGCUUGUAAGGAUUGCCGUUGAAGCCCUGCUGCCGGAGGAAUUUUUCGAGUUUUUUGGGCGUAAACCAAACCCAAUCUAAUACUUUCCAUAGAUAUAUUAGAGCUACAGCAGCGCAAGAAAUUGAAGCUGUCAAGAUCAAAACAUCCAUGGUUGUAAUAAAUUCAAGUGAUUAUGAAUUGCAGUGGGAGAUAGAGGAGAGGGAUGAAGUCAUUUAUACCCGAUUUUCAGUGUUGAUUAUAGUUUCCAAUUUGGACUUUUUGACUAGUCAAUUUUGUCGGCUGCGUGGUUUUGGACCUUUGUUUGAGGUCAAUUAGUUAUUACCAGAUAAUGUCGUCCGCUUUCUUGAAAAAAAAAGAAAAAAUUAAAUAUGUUCAGGUCUCCCCACAUCCAUUCGUUCAACACAGCUAGAUUUUAAUUUUAAUAAAUGUUUGUUGAAUGUGCUGAUGAGUGGAGAAAAUAGUUUAUUUUUGAAUAGAGUGAAAAAAAUAUGACAUACGGUAUAUUGAUAAAUUGUAAAUAUUGUUGAAGUGAGAAUAAGAAUGAGGGAUUAAUAGUGAGAUCAUGUUAAAAAAAUGAGUACUCCCUUCGAUUUAUAAAAACAUGAAUAUUUUGUCAUUUUGGGUCGUCUCAUAAAAAUAUGAUCAUAUUUUUAUUUUGGUACACUAUCCCAUCAUAAUAUGUAUCUUUACUUUUUAUAAAGUGGGACUUUUUUUUAUUCACAAUAUACUUUUAUCUAAUAUUUCUUAAAAUUCGUUCCAUUUUUGUGAGACGGAGGAAGAAUAUUAUGUUUUUUGCGGAACAAUAGGAGCAUAUAUUAUAGCUAGUGGGAUUGAGGAAAUAUUUUUUUCACCCACUAUCUACAUUUUAUCACUUCUUUGCGGCGUCACUGCCUGUAGUUGCCUUGUUUGAAAUGAUCAAUAUACUAGUAUAGUUUUGAUGUAGAUGUAUAUAUAUACAUGUUUUCUAUCAUUUUCUACAUACGUUCGCUACGAGGUAGUGUAUAAAAUAACAAAACGGUCGUCCUCUUGCAAAAUAAAUAAGAAUGAAUUGUUUGACUAAUUAGCAUUAGGUAUAUAGUACAUGAAUUUUCUUUUGAAACAGUAGCUAUAUAGCAAGUUGGUGCGAGNNNNNNNNNNNNNNNNNNNNNNNNNNNNNNNNNNNNNNNNNNNNNNNNNNNNNNNNNNNNNNNNNNNNNNNNNNNNNNNNNNNNNNNNNNNNNNNNNNNNNNNNNNNNNNNNNNNNNNNNNNNNNNNNNNNNNNNAUUUCACAAUAAUUAAAUAUCCAAGUUUUGUAGUAUAUAACAUCAUAUAUAUCUUCUACGUUGACAAAAUUCAGCCUCACGUUUUAUGGGAAAUUCCAAAAAUUAUGAAAGUUCAUGUAUUUAGAACAAACUUUUAUUUAUUUUGAAAAAAACCAAAAUAGUGUAAAGUUUAUGGAUUUAAAACAAAUUAACCCUAUAUAAAAUAUCUUUAAAUCACCAAUCCCUUUCCUCAAUCAGAGAUCUGAAAUUAUUCACACAAUAUCUAAAUAUCUUUAAAUCACCAAUCCCUUUCAUCAAUCAGAGAUCUGAAAUUAUUCACACAAUAUCUAAUGUACAUAUCAAUAUAUUCCUUUAUUUUAUCCUUCUUGAUUAGGGUUGGUUAUAUAAUAACCAUAAUUCAUUUAAUUUUAAGUUUACAAUGCAGUUGUAGUAGAUUUUGAUUAUAAGUGUUAAUUAUUUCAAACUUAUAAUGUAUAAUGUUUUAUUAAUUUUUAGCUAAUUAUUUUAUAAUUAAUUUUCAUAAUUCUAAUAAGUGUUUUAAAAUAAUAAGUUUGGGAUAUUAUACAAGUGGUACAUGAAUAAUCAUAUAAUUUCACUAGUUCGUGUCUCGAUAAUAAAAAGAUUUUCAAAAGAUCUAUAUUUAAUUUAUUAAUUUAUUAAGGGUUAAAUUACCUAUAUAUUCACGAACUUUUGUCUUUUUCUGAUUUUUUCCACGACAUUUAAAAUUGACAAAUUUAUUCACCAAUUUCAAAUUCAUUCUUUAAUUUUCCCACAUGGUACAAUUAUAUCCAAAUUAAAGCUAAUCGUGACAUCAAAAUUGUUAGCGUAGAGCGAUUAUAUAAGGCUAGGGUCGUGCUACUUUGGUAAAACUGAUAUCCAACUCAACUUUUAUCUAGAAAUAAGUAUACUAUGUAGGAAAAUAAUAAGAAUAGUAAUUUUACUAAUUGGGUAGAAUUUAAUUUGUACUAAUUUUAAAUAUCGUGAAAAAAUUGAAAAAUGACUAAAGUUCAUAAAUUUAUUGACAAUUAACCCUUUUAUUAAAUAGUCUAUUGUAAUUCUUGGAGGAACUUUGACCCAAUUUGCAAACUUUACAAUUUUAAUAGGAGAUGUGACGAUUGGAAAAUUAAUUAUUUUAGGAACUUUGACCCAAUUUGCAAUUAUUGCAGAAACUUUAACCAAAUUUGCAAUUUUAAUUGUUAAUUGUCAAUUUUUCCGAAGACCUAACAAAAUGAUGUGACGUCGAAAAUUUUAUAUGGUUUUGGACGGAGUCCAUGUCGUAUAUGGUGGCGGUUGUUGCUCAUAGUUAACAAAUCAUCUCCACAUCUCUCUCUCUCUCUAUCUACGUGUCAACGUGUGUGUGUGUGUUAGAAUUAGAAAUCAAAGAGAAAAAAGUGUAUCAAAGUGGUCUUUAAACGCCUUGGUUUUGGAGCUCAAAGUUUUUUUUAGGUCCAUAACUUUUAUUGUUUUUAUAAAUAUAGGACAAAUUUUUUUCGAACUUGUAAUUAUAAGAUAAACUAGUAUAUUCGCCCGCGCGAUGCAUGGCGAACAUAGUUUUGCAUCAAAAUUAAACGAUGUAGUGUGUGUAUCGGUUAAACGAUUAUGGGUUAAUGUCUAAAAUCGAAGGUUUUGGGUUCAAGCCCCAUGUGGCGCGGCCUUUAAAUUUCUUUAUUUAAUCAUGUUAAUUUAUCAAAAAUAAAUAAAUUAAAUGAUGUAUCAAAUAAAUAAAAAAUAAAUAUUAAAUAUAUAUAGUUAGAAUAUAAGUAAAUGUAAAUUAUUUUUUCUUAAAAAAUAAAAUAAUCUAUUUCACUCUUACCUUCUUUCAUCCUCCUGUUAAAUCUCGUCGGCAGAAACCUGCCCAAAUUUAAAGUAAACGUACUGAGUCUAUUUUUAAUAAAAGUAAGUGAGACCUCACUCGAUCGCUUUAAUCACUUUAACAUUUUCAUAAAGGUGAGACCCUUAUUCCACUCACAGCAUGCUCAGCCACUUUAUUAAAAUCAGUAUCAUUAUUAAAAAUCGAGACAGAGAGAGUAGAUAGUAACUAAUGAUACCACUUUAAAAAUUUGGAAGCUCAAGAUGAUGAACCGUGCGAUUGGCUUCCAUAAUGUGCUUGGCUUGCUGUCUCUGAAGCUCGAAUAUCUUCCUCCCUUGUUCAUAGCAACUGCCAAAUGCAGUUCUCGAAAUCACGUCGCCUGUCAUGCUCUCAAGAUAAGGCCACACGUCCACUUCACAACAUCCUUUGUUUCCUACAAUCUCAUCCCAUUUGCUCAACAUUUCACCACAGCUCAACUGGAAUGCAGGAACCAUAUGCUAUAUAUAUAUAUAUCCAAAGUAUUCAAUUCCAUCAUCACUUUCCUCCAUCAAACUCAACUUGCUAUCAUAUUCACAAGUAAAUAUUUUAAAACGAUUUGUCAAUUUCUGACCAAUUAAUGUUAUCGUGGCUAGCUGAAGUGGUAAAUUGAUGCAAUCGUGACAAGUUGAAGUGAAGCAGAUAUCCAAAUACGUUGUUUGGUUUAGGUUAUAGUGAGAAUGACUAUUUUCGUGAGAAAUGAGAAUGAUGAAUAAACUAGUAUUUAGGGCUGAAUAAGUUGCUUGUAAUGCAUUAAUAGCCGUAAUUCAAUUAAUUGGUUAAAAUUUUGUCCCCCCGUAGGAUUCGAAUCCAAAUUUGUGGUUAUUCGUGUAUUACAACCACCUUAUUCAACUUUAUAUACUUACUUAUGCAUAUCAAUUCCCGUUCUCACAAAAGAUAACAUUCUCACCGAAUCUUUUCUCUACAUUAUUUAAUACGUCGGUUGUUUGUAGACAGUUCAUGCGUCCAACUCAUCAUUAAUUAAUUUGGAGGUAACCGACAACUAUGUGAAAAAUCGAAACAAUUGAAAGUUCGUGUAUUCUACCUUGAGCUUCUCGGCGUGGAAGGCGGGGUUGAUGAGUUUUCUGUGCUUCGCCCAUUUAUCUGUCUCGAGCGAUGCUAGUCCUCCGGCAAGCAGUCUAGUAAAAGGGUUGCCCCAAGGCUUUUGGAAAACAUAAUUUUUCGACAUAAUCUCUCUUAUAAUCUCGAGAUCCAAGAUUAGAACUGCAGGCGUUGGCCCAAACCACGCAAAGCAUUUCUCGCCUGCGGUUUACCGGUGAUAAUUAAUUAGGCCUCAAAACAGAGCAACAAGAAAUGCAAUACAAAAUUCUUUAAAUUAGUCUCACGUGGCACGACAUUUAAAUUUCUUUAUUUAAUACUGUUAAUUUAUUAAAAAAAUUGCAAUACAAGCUAAGAAUUAUAUAUAUACCAUAUUUGUGAGAGCUUUGUGGAAGCUAGGGAUAACUCUAGGCACAAUAUCGUGGGAGAAAAUCAUGGGCUUAGACCUGGCUUCCUUCCUUGUCACGCUUGAUUCUUUCAAAUCGCCAUAGAAGAAUCUGUAAGAAUUCCCAUCGAAGCCCUGCUGCCGGAGGCGUUUCUCCACGUAUCUUGGCCUAAACCAUAACCAAUUCAAGAUUCUCCACCCAUAGACAAGUGCUGCUGUGGAAGCGCAAGAAAUUAUAACUGUGCAGAUGAAAAUAUCCAUUUUCCGUUUUUAAUUUCUAUUUUGGGAGGAGCGGAUGUACGAAGAGUGGAAGAGAAGAUGAGAUGAGAUACAUGAGUCAACCAAAAUACAGUUUCUUCCAACACCUUUCUUUUGGUCCCUUCCGUUCGCUCUUUUAUGGUUAAUAUUUUAUACUCAGUAAAAUAAUAUUUCUUGUGAUUUCCAGUCAUAUUUAAUUUGAAUUUCUAUAUUAUUCCCUCCGUCCCACGAAUCUUGAGUCACUUUUUUUUUCGGUCGUUCCACGAAUUUUGUAGUCAUUUUCUUAUAUGGCAAAAAAAAUUACCAUUUAUUUACCUUUUCACUAGUUUCUUAAUUCUUGUGUCCAAAAGAAAUUGUCUCAAGAUUCGUUAGGACGGAGGGAGUAUUAUUUAUUAAAAAAAUAAAAAAUAUAUAAUUGCAUAGUGAAUCUUUUUUUAGGUAGAUAAUUACAUAGUGAAUCCUAAUAUAAUUUAUCAUCAAAAGUUGAAGCAUAAAAAAUAAAAUAACUAAAUUAAAUAUGGAAGAAAACAAAUCGUAAAAAAAUCAAUUGCAUAUAUUAAAUACUAAAAAAUUAUAGGUUAAAUGUUAAAAAUAAUUAUAAAUCCUGAUUGAAUUGGUGAAUCAUAAUUGAUACUCCUCCCGUCCUCCAAUUUCAUGCUUCUUUUGUCAUUCUAGUCAUCCCCUUAAUUUAUUCCCUUAAUUUAUAGCCCCUUAUAAAGAUAGAAACCAUUAUUUCAUUCACAACACACUCAACCAUUUAUUAAAAUUUGUGUUAUUUUUAAAGGAGCGUGAAAUUGAGGGACGGUGAGACCAUUAGAUAUUGAAAUUGAGAAAAAUAACAAAAAUACAAAUUAAAAACAAGGAUGAGACACCAAAAAGUACAAUAGAAGAUCCCAACUAAUAUUUGAUGUCCAAACAUGUGGGAGAUAUAUUUAUUUUACACGAUCUAUAUUAAGGUCGUUAAAGUUUUGUAAGAAUCAAGUGGGCGCCAUGUUGAGGUUGGAGAGUGAUGACGGCGCGAGGUGCGUGCGAAUACGACGGCGAAAGCUGAAACGAAUAGCGCUGCAGAAUCAUAGCCAUCGCGAUUUUAGCUUCCAACAUAGCAAAGUUCUGGCCGAUGCAUAUCCUCGGCCCCCACCCGAAGGGAAUAUAGGCGGGCUGGGGCUGGCCCCACCCCGCCCCCGCCUUCGACACGCCGUCGCCGAACCUCUCCGGCUUGAAUUCCCUCGCAUCGUCGCCCCAUAUUUUGCAGUCCUGAUGGAACAGAAUCAUGGGGAGCGCAAUAUUGACCCCCGCCGGCAGCCUCACCUUCUUCCCGACCGUCAUUUCCUUUUCGACAAAACGAUUUAGCACCGCCGCCGGCGGAUACAGCCUUAGCACCUCUUGAAAGAUCAUGCUAACCUGCACAUCAUCUUCAUCAGUUCAAUUUUUGCAAUUCGAUUCCCCAAUUUUUUUCAAGUGAGAGCCGAACCACGUUGCCGCGAAUAGGCCUAAGAAUGACAUGCCAAAACUAUCAAGAAGAACAAAGCUACAACAGAAGAACAUAUAAAAUUACAAUCGAAAAAAAUUAGGGGGACGGAAUUGCAAAAAUUAAAAAGAUAGUGAUUUAAUUCGCUAUAUUUUAAAAGUCACGUCAAAAAAUUGCAAAGUCUAAAUAGUUCAUGAUUUUAUUUCUCAGACCCACUUUUUAUUAUAAAAAAAACCUUAACUUUCAACAAUUUUCAGAAAAUGUUUCGUUAUAUAAAAUUCGACAAAUGAGUCAUCUUGCCGUAUUCUUAACUCAUCAUUUCAUCAGCGCCGAAUUUGAUAUAACGAAACAUUUUUUCAGAGACGUCGAAAAAUGAGGACACAAAAUAUGAUUAAUCUAAGUGCAAAAAAAAUAUAUGAUUCAUCCUAAAAAAUAUUAAUGAAGAGAUUAGGAAAAAAACACUGACGAUUUUGAGGUGGUUUAGUUUUUGAUAGUCCGGUUUGCCUCUCCCGAAAACUUGCAGAACCUCGUCUCUUGCACGAGCUUGCCAGUCGUCGUGCUUGCUUAAAAGGAUCAUUGUCCAAACCAGCAGAGAAGCUACGGUCUCGUGGCCGGCGAAGUAGAAGAUUUUGCACUCUUCGAUCACUUCCUUGAUGCUCAUGCCGGAUUCAUUUCCUAGAUGUUUCAUCUCCUUCAAAUUGGAUUCCAACAGUAAUCCCAAUAAGUCAUCUGCGCUGCCUUCCGUUGCUUUCAUUCUUUUGUUGAUGAUUCCGAUCACUAAUGAUUCGAUUUCCUUCGUUGUCUGUCUCGUCUUCCUAUUAGCUUUUGUGGGCAAAAACCUGCAGAAAAUUGGGUAUAAUUAAGUUGGUGAGAACACAUGCACAAACACACACUACAAAAAAAAAAAAAAAUCGGCUUGAUUGCUAUUAUGCGUGUGAUAAAAAUUAGUGACAUUUGAUAAUGUAGCUAAAUCACUGAUAAUUACAUUUUCAAAGUCUACUAAUUUUUAUGACACGAAUGUCACUGAUAGAAUUUUUUUUUUGUAGUAACAUUCGUAUCUUGCUCAUGGAAAUUAUGUGUUUGUGCAUGUCUUAGUUUUCACUUAAAAAUAUCAUUUUCAUCUUAUAUUUUAUAUAUAUAUAGAUAGAUAGAGAGAGAGAGAUGAAUCUAGUGAGAAUAAGAAUACAUGAAUGACACCUAUAUCCUGGGAUAUUAACAGAGCUAUUUUCUUCCAUGACACGCUGCGCUUGUUUUUUUUGGAGUUGUGAUAUCUUUCUUCCUUCUUCGAAGCUACUCCCAAACGCAGUUCUUGAAAUCACAUCACUCGUCAUUGUCAAAAGAUGAGGCCACACAUCCACCUCACAACACCCUUCAUUUCCCACAAUCUCAUCCCAUUUGCUCAACAUUUCACCACAGCUCAAGUAGAAUGAUGGAACCAUAUGCUGUUUGCAUAUAUAUAUAUCAAAGCAUUAGCAACCAAUUUAACUAGAAAAAAAAUGGUGUCUUAUUUCAUACAGAAACUUUGUAAGGGGAUAGAUAGUUUUGAGGUUUAGGUAGAUAAAUAAAAAUAUAUAGUGUAGGCAAAUCCAUUAUUUACUAUUCACCCGUCCACGGAACAAAGUCUCAUUUCAUACUGGGCACGGAGAUUAAGAAAGCUGAUAAAAAAUGUUAUUAGUGUGAUAAAAUGAUAGUGCACAGAAAUUAAGAAAGCUGAUAAAGAUAUUAUGAGUGAGAUAAAAGGUGGUGACUAUGACAUUUUAUUACUUUUGGGGAGGUCCAUUAGUGGCAAAUGGUAAAAAAAAAUACUAUAAAUGUAUAAAAAGAGACUUUAUUUGGUGGACAAAUGCAAGUAGGACUUUGUUUCGUGGACCGAGGGAGUAAAAUGGAUUGAAUGCCCUUGAUAUUUCUAUUAUUUGAGCUAAUUUUAUUUGAUUUAUACUCCAUUUGUCUCAUUAGUAAUGUCUCAUUACUUUUGCACAUGGAGAUUAAAAAAAUGUAGUUAGUGUAUAAAGUGAGCUGGUGCACCAUUAAUAAUUUAAGUUAAUUGAUGUAUAAAAUGAGUUGGGUCUACCAUUAAUAAUAUUUUAAAUAGUUAAUUUUUACUAAAAAAGAUAUGAGACAUAACUAAUGGGACGUCCUAAUAUGGUAGCUGAGACAUUACUAAUGAGACAGAGGAAGUAUUAAUUAUGAAAAGUAAACACAAGUAAAUGAAGAAAUUUAAAAAUCACACGGCGGUGGAUUCGAAUCCAGAACCUCAGGCAUUGAGCAUUAAUUAACCACUUAUCGUUAGACCAACACACGCACACAGACUACGUACCUUCAAUUUGUCGAGAUGGAAUGCCGGAUUGAGGAGCUUUCUGUGCUUGGCCCAUUUGUCUGCCUCGAGCGAUGACAGUCCAUUUGCUAUCUGUCUAUCAAAUGGUGAACCAGGAGGCUUGUGAAAAUCAUAAUUCUUCAACAACAUCUCACGUAUUAUUUCAGGAUCCAAGAUUACCAAUGUAGGUCUUGGCCCAACCCACACAAAGCAUUUCUCACCUGCAUGCACUUUCACUAAUUAAUUGUCACCAAAUAUUACAAAACUAAUUAAGUGCAUCUUAGUUCAUGUGCUAAAACAAGAAUUUGAUGAGAUGAGAAAAUGAAUUUAUUUUAGAUGCGUAGAAAGUAGAGUGAAUAUAUAUACCGUAUUUGUGUAGGGCUUUGUGGUAGAUGGGAGUGACUCUAGGCAAAAUAUCAUCGGAGAAGUUGAUGGGUUUGGACAUGGCUUCUUUCGUAGCCGCCUUCAUUUCUGUCGAGUCUCCAUGGAAAAGUUUGUAAGAAUUUCCAUUGAAACCCUGCUGCCUCAGGAAUUUCUCCAGCUUCUUUGGCCUAAUCCAUAUCCAAUUCAAGAACUUCAACAUAUAUUAAUGCUAUAAUAGCGCAAGAGAUUGCGAAUAUGAAUGUGAAAUCAUCCAUUAUUAGUAGUUUUGUUUAUUGAAAGAGCAUAGGCUCAUGCCAUAGAUAUAAGAGAGAAAUUAAAAGAGAAGUACUGUUAAAGGAACUUGCGUAAUUUCUUUGAUUUUCUUUUUUUUGUUUUUUUUUUUACAUAUUGUUCUUUUCGUCUAGAUGUGUAUAUCUAUCAAGAAAAAGACCAUUCAACUACUAAGUACUAUAAGCUGGUGGGGGAAGUGACAUAUUCUAGAAUAUUCAUGAAUCACGAGUAUAUAUAGAAUAGCUAAUUAAUACACGAUUUCAAUCGAUAAUUACGUAUAUCUUUUUAAAUACUCCCUCCGUCCCACGAAGCAUGACACAAUUUCUUUUUGGUCUGUCUCACGAAGCAUACACAUUUCUAAAAAUGGCAAAAAAUUCACCCUUUAUUCACAUUUUCACUUUUUCACCUACCACACUUAACACACAAAAUAUCAAUUUCUUAUUCCACACCGAAAAGAACUGUGCCAUGCUUCAUGGGACGGAGGGAGUAUAUGGAAAUUUAAAUACAAGUAGAGUUGCACAAACAUUCAUCUCUUUAAUUGGGGGGGGAAGCAUUCAUGUCUCUUUCACUUUAGGAUAUUCAAGCGAUGAAGACCUUCUUAGCCCACGUUUGGUUGAUGUUUUUAGAGAUUGAAAAUGAAAUCAAGUAAUUGAAUCCAUUACUUGUUGUUUAGUUUGGGUAAUGAGAUAAUCAUUACCCUUACUUGAGGUAACUCAAUCACUCAAUUUGUUACCCCUCAAAAUAUAGGGGAAACAAAAGAAAGAUAAUCCCUUACUAAUGUUUCCUUUCCAUUGUUAAACAAACACUCAAUAAAAGUAAUGAUUAUUGUUACAUUCCACUCUUUAUUUGAUUCUAUUCACUUUCCAUUCUCUACUUGAACCGAACGAGCACUUAGUAUGUAAGGUUCAACCUCCUCUAUCUCCCCCUUCUACUUUGGUGUCCAUUUUAGGGGUCUUUUUCAUGAGUUGUAUUUUCUUUUUGUAUAUAAGAUUCGUGAUUUUGACAGUGAGAUCUUUUCUUAAUUUUGUGGGAACAAAUAUUGGCAUUGGAUUUUAUGGCCAUAUUUUAUUAUUUUUCUUAAUAGUAUAUCUUACUCACGAGCUCUGUCUUAUUUAUACAAGUGAGGUUCUCAUCAUUUGGGUGUUCUAUAAUAUGAUAAUACUAUGGCUAUUACAAACUAAAAUAAUAAAGGGAUUGUAAAGAAAAAAAAUACACGAACUUUGGUAAAAAUUUGUAAUUUUCACCCCAAGUUUUAAUUAAGCUAUAAUUGAAAAAAAUAUAUGAACUUAUAUUUUAGUUGCAAUUUUCACCUGAUCGAGUUUGUCUUCCGCCGAAAUUAGAGCUCAAUCUGAUCCAAAAAAAAUAGUUUUUCAAUAUUGUAUGCUUUGAUUGUAUUUUUUUAUUAUAUUUUGCAUAUAAUAUGAAUAUUCGAUUAGGAUUUGAAUUAAAAAUUAAUUUUUCUAAUUAGGUGAAAUUAAGCUUUAAUUUCGCCGGAAGUCAAACUCACGUGAAAUUGCAACUAAAAUAUAAAUUUAUGUAUUUUUUAGUUUAAUUGAAAAUCCAGAUCAAAUUGCAAUUUUCACCUAUGCUUGUGUAUUUAUUUGCCAUAACCCCAAAAAUAAAUAGCAAUGUUGAAGCAGUCUGCAAAUUUACUUUUGGGUCAGAAUAAGCUACGGUUUUGGGCCGAUUUUGAUUUUGAACUGCUCCAUCCGAAUUCUCAAUUUGGCCGUGGGCUCAAGCCGAAGAAAAAGUUCAAAUUUUGAGUUAGAUUCUGCUAUGAAUUUUACUUGCGAUGGAUUUUCAGCGGGACCCAUAGUUUCAUAGCUUAGUAGUACUGCAUAUAGGUUGCGUUUAUUUUGCAUAAUUGAUAAGAUGUAGGAUUGAAUAUUUUUAUUUUUAAUAAUAGAAUUUUUUAAAUCCCAUAUUUUUGGUAGAAUAUAAAUCAAGCAAAACUAGCUUAAAUGAUUUGUCUGUGAUCGCUCGCGCUUGCGAUUGGGAAACUAUUCACUUUUAAUUUCUUUAUUUCUUAAAGUUUGUUAAUCCCAACACUAGGUAAAAAAAAAUCCCAUCAUCUGAUGGUCGUCUCUAACGUUGAGAUUUACUAUUGUCAAAAUAAAAUGAAUUUCUCGUGCAGGUUUAAUUCCAUUAAGAAAACUAGGGGCGUGUAUUAAGAUAUUGAUGGAAUUUACUUGUAAACGGAGAAUCAAUUCACAUGACAAAUAAUAUGCUUAUUGCAAUAUUUAGUAAUCAAUAUUAGUAUUUUGGAUGAUAGAAUAAUGAGUUUUCAACACGAAAUUAACAGGAUACAAAUAAUUACUCCCUCCAAAUAAAUACUUACACGGGUUUUAAGGAAAUGUUGUAUUGAUAGUGGAAAAAAAAUUAUACUCUCCGUCAUAUGUCCUAAUCUCGGCACAGAUUAGAAAUUGAUAUAUGUUAGAAGAGUCAGAAAAUAAACCAUCAACUAACAAAAUUAAAAAUAAGAAACCCUAGUUUGGUACAUACAUUUGAAUGCAGAAGCAAUCGAGUAAACUAAUUAAUUAUAUUAAUCUUGAAUUAGAUUCACACAGCUCGUCACUAAUUAACCCCACAGCCACAGAAAAAAGUAAAAAUCAAGAAACAUGAUGAUAAUCUUCCAUGGGAAUCAACUCUGCUAAACACCAAGUUCCAUUGCUCCAUUCUUGAUGAGUCCGCAGCCUAUUCUUGUGGUAAAAGAUCUCAUCUCCGGUGGUCUCGAAGAACACCGUGUAACCAUCUCCGCUUCUGCCGGUGAUCCUCCCCCACCACCACCCGUCGUUGUCGAACGCGUCCACCACGUCGUGCAGCCGGUACUCCGUCGCCGGAUCGGGCGGCGGCCUGGGGCGGACCUCGGCGGCGGAGGCCACCUCACGCAGCGGCGCCGAGAGAUCGUCCUUGAGCAGAGUGCGAUACUGCACGUAGUAGCCGUGUUUUGAGAGAUCGGUCAUGACGGUGGCCUCGUAGUAGGAACCAACAAAUCCUUCCUGCACGCUCGCCACCUCCACCGGAUCGCCGCGCCGGAACCGCCGCGCCAUUGUUGAUUCUGUUUCUUUCCAAAAUUUGUUGAUUAAUUGAAUAUUGAGAUGUACAGAUUUUGGGGGGAUUAGUUGGUGUGUAUUUAUAGAGUGUUUCUGGACGUAUGUAAAUGAUUGUUUCCAUGUUCG
This 13348-nucleotide long non-coding RNA is filed under the name Salvia miltiorrhiza (redroot sage). Its description in RNAcentral is "long non-coding RNA (SMIL_LNC005627)". The record is from RNAcentral. Lineage: Eukaryota; Viridiplantae; Streptophyta; Magnoliopsida; Lamiales; Lamiaceae.